Long non-coding RNA from Esox lucius (northern pike), 1290 nucleotides. RefSeq lists it as uncharacterized. The transcript is spliced from 3 exons. NCBI's taxonomy places the organism in Eukaryota, Metazoa, Chordata, Actinopteri, Esociformes, Esocidae. The record is from RefSeq and is a predicted model, not a curated record.
UGGUGUUUAUGCUGACUGGCCUUUGUCCUUUUAGUUUGUCCUUACUUAUGACGCUAUCACGCAGCUCCAUAUUGAAUUUGUGUGCCACCAAAUCGGUCCCAAUGUCCCAUCUGCAUAGCUAGCUACCAAAUAUUGGUUGUCUGUUCGUGAUUUUGAAAAUGUCAACAAAUCCGUUAGUCCACAAGUAUGCGAGCGGUUCACAAAAGCUUACUUUUGCACAAGGAAAAAGGGAACGAGCACAAGAAAUGAAUACGCGUUUUCAAGCAGCCUGCUAGUAUUAGCAGUAGUUGAAUAGUAAGAAACGGGGGAGUGGGCCGCAGAGAGCAAACCAGCCCUGUUGGCGAGAACGAUCAGGAGCAAGUUCCUAACAGCGAAACCACCGCCGGUGAAGACGGUUCGGCUACUGCACCAGUUAGUGAUCAUGGUACCCUGCGCAUGUUACGUGUGGACUAGGCCUUAGCUAAGCUAAACUAAGCUAAGGCCUAGUCCACACGUACACAGGCAUUUCUUUUUUAAACGGGGAACUUUCGUCCAAACGUAAACUGCAUUUUAGGUCACUGAAAACGGACCUUUUGGAAAAACUCCUUCCAUGGUGAAGAUAUUCAGAAAGUCCGUUUUAAGUGUUUACAGGGAAAAUUCAGAUUUUGGCUUGUAACGUCAGAACGUGCGCCGUUAUCUCCAGUUUGACAUCGAUGUGCGCCGUUAUCUCCUUUGUUUACAUGAGGCGAUUUUGGUGCAAUGGCGCAAAUAGUCAAAUAGUGCUGUUUUUAAUCUUGCUAACAGGAUGUUUUCACAAACGUACUGUUACUCUCCCACUAUAUUGAGGAACAGGAGCAAAGGAGUGGCAUUCCGAUGGAGUUUGCAUGGUGGCUGCCCCUUAUGCUGACAAACAAGCAGCCAAAGGAUGGAAGCAGUGCGAGAACUGUUUGAAACAGCGAGUUGGAGGCCAGGAGUGGAGGUCCAACCUACGACUUCCAAGUCAAAUUGAAGAAAGUAACAGUCACGGAAGUAGGCUGAUUGAGUAUAACACAAAACAACAAUCCUGCAGUCCUGUAAUACUUUCAAUGACCUCAAAGCUGUCCUCAACCAGGUGUGUGUGGGAAGGUCUUCACACCGGACCCGACAACCCAAGUGAACCGGUGGUGGAAAUGUUGUUGAUCGGGGCCUACAAUCCAUAUCCAGGCUCUAAAUUAUUACGAGGGCCCACCUGUAGACCUCCUCUAAUCUCUCCAUCUCUUUCCUUGCCCCUCUAUUCUCUCUUCCUAUUCCCUUCUCCAUCAAUUCUCUCUU